UUUAGGGUAAUAUGAAUCAGAGAUUGGCCUAACAAGUUGCACUUUGCUCUAUGAUCUAUCUCACUCCGAAAAGCAUCUGGACGGAUUUCCUUUCUCUCAUCGCAUUCGUUCUCAAAAUUUGGAUCUAGCUCGAAAAACUUAGGGUUUCCACUAGCUCUCAUCGCAUUCGUUCUCAAACUCGAAAAAGUUAGGGUUCCUAAAAAGGUAGGGUUGCAGAACGAUCAUCGGCAACAUGAGCAACAAAAUUUGGAAUCACAUAACCAUAAUUCGCAACAACAGCAGAAUUUGCAGCAACAUCAGCAAAAUUUGCAGCAGUUUCAACGUCAAUUGCAGGAAGUCCAAUUUUGUUGAAUUCAGGAAAUUUCUGAAUGAAUCGCAGAGUUUACUUGGUGGAUUUGCAUGCACAGCAUGGUAUUGAUGUAACCGAGAUUUCUGAGGAUAGUCAAGACGAUCUUGAGGGAUUGGAUGCUUCAGUAGCACAUAUUGCAAAUCUGUUGUGAACAGAACCUGCCGAUGG
Long non-coding RNA from Beta vulgaris subsp. vulgaris (sugar beet), 517 nucleotides. RefSeq lists it as uncharacterized. NCBI's taxonomy places the organism in Eukaryota, Viridiplantae, Streptophyta, Magnoliopsida, Caryophyllales, Amaranthaceae. The transcript has 3 exons. The record is from RefSeq and is a predicted model, not a curated record.